GUAAAGCCUUAGACCCCCCCCCCUUUUUUUUUUUUUUAGACUGCGGGAAAACUAACCAUUUGUUGAUGCACUUGGUUUUUUGCGUUCAGUUAGUUUGGCUGCUAAAUUUUGUUCAAAACGAGGCUGAAAUUCACUAACUCUUGAUACACAUAAAAAAAGUUUUUUUCUUCUUAAAAUCUUCAUGACAGCGCAGUUCUUUCGAUAAUCCUUGUCGCGGCGUUAUGUUGAACAUAGUCAGUGUGUUCCUAAACAUCAUAAAUAGUCAUCUUUCUGGAAUCAUCUUAUUGUUAACCAUCUCUUCGAAAUGUUGGAUUCAUUACAUCAAAUAAAAAUGUCCAAAAACAAAAUUUAAAC
This is a non-coding RNA of Biomphalaria pfeifferi, 354 nucleotides long. NCBI's taxonomy places the organism in Eukaryota, Metazoa, Mollusca, Gastropoda, Planorbidae. The record is from the annotation of a GenBank genome assembly.